GAUGCUGAGCCGGAGAGCCAUCAUUUCACAGAGAGACCAGGCAGAGGAGACGGUGUCUGCUUUCAGUCCUCAUCAGCUGUGGCUGGAGAAGGCCGGUGUGUGUCUGAGUCUGAACCUGUUUCAGCCUGCUAAAGUCCUGCUGACUCACACACACCUGACAGCCAAGGCGCUUGGAGACCGGCUGUCAUUGGCUAAGAGUUUACACCUGCUGGCGGUUCUGGCCAAUCAGGAGCAUCGGUUCGGCGAGGCUCUCGCUCUGCUGCAGGAGGCACAAGAGAUCGGAGGAGACGAGGAGUUCUGCUUCCUGCUCACUCAGACGCUCCUAACGACCGUAGUGGAACACCAGGAAGUGGAAGAACAGGAAACGCAUCAUCAGGUGUGUGUGAUCACAGAACAGGCCUGCAGAACCAUCAGAGCUGUUCUAGAGCAGAGACCGAACCGAGCCUCGGUCCUCCGCUUCUUCAUCGCAGAGCUGCAGACCAGGGCUGCCGUGUUUCGUCAGCGUUUGUUGUGUCCUGCAGCUCCACUGCAGUGUCUGACAGAUCUGUCGGUGGAGAUGCUGAGCUCGGUGUGUGACACGCUCAAACACACUGCUGCUGAACUACUAGAGCUGGGAUACAGGACACACUCUUCUGAGGCCAUGCUAGAACACGCCAACACACUGAGAAUCCUGGCUGUUCACUCAUUGAAUGAUGAAGAGAAACAGCGCCACCUUCUGGAUGCGUUCAGGUUGAUGAAGAACGCUGUGUCUCUUCAGGAGCAGGUUCUCACUGAUGUCCUGAAUGUUCUCCCACCUCACGAGUCCGGCUGGCGUGGUGUCCCCGGGGCCCGUGUGUGUGUCCGUCUCAGAAUGGCCCUCGCUGACCUGGCCCUGCUCAUGCUGGAGCUCCAGAGCGCAGAGCAGAAGAGGAAGUCCAUGGCUCGGGACAGGAAGUCAUCAGCAGAGAGAGCUCUGGAGGACUACAUGAGGAGCAGCUCUGAUCCAGAGACGGAGUGGUCAGCUGCGGGCCGGUCUCUGGCUCAGGAGGCUCUGACUCACCUCACAGCGGUCAUCUCUGUCUCACCCGACCGCGUGGAGACCAGGGCCCGCUCCCUCGGCAUGCUGGGAAGGUGUCUGAGGAUCCUGGCUCAGCAGAGAGACCCGCUGUGGACCGAGAGCGACGCGGAACAGGAGGAUAAUGAAGACCAGCGAGUGAAGAUAAAUGAAGCGGAGAAGAAACGAUACGGCGGCAGACGUGCCGAGCUGCAGAGCGAGUGGAGAGCAGCGCAGCAGAUGUUGGCUCAGGCCUCUGAAACUCUCUCUCAGGCUGUGAGUCUGAGUCUUCAUCACAAUCUUCCUCAUCUUCUUCCUGGCGUCUGCUCAGAUCUUCUGGAGUGUCUCGGUCAGUUUGACCCCGGGGCCAGUGGACAGUACCUCGCCCUGCUGCAGAGCGGUGUGUGUUGUGUGGAGAUGUCGUCCGUCCUGGACUCGAUCUGCUCCGGCGUCUGGAGGAGACUGCUCUCUUCACAGGGACACCGGCCGGGCGGCGAGGCCUUCGCUCACCUGACCUUAAACCCAAACCACCUGAGGAUUCUGGGAGAAAUGCCACCGAGCUUCAAGAUCCUGCUGCUCCAGCACUCAGAGGACAGUUCUGUGCUUCACGCUGGUGUUUAUGAGAAGGUUAGGACCUCAGAGACUCAGAAAGGAAAGAGUGUGACAGGUGGUCUGAUCUGCUCUAAGGUGGUUAAGGCCUCUGUUCUUCGCUCCGAUCUGCUGCAGCUCCACAGACUCCUUCAAGAGUUCAGAGAUCUGAACACACACGCGCGUCUGAAAGAGUCGGGACGGAACCGAGCGCGAGAGGACACAGAUGGAAAACCAGAGGUUUGUUUCCGAGCUCUGCUUGAGGAGAUGGAGAACUACCUCCGUCCUGUUCUCUCGCAGUUCGACUUUAGCGAUCGCUCUCCGUCUAUCUCCACGGCAUCGGCCCGAGCCAAAGACAGGGACGAGAAGAGCGCUGAUAAACCUCUGCCGGAUGCCGGUGAUUGUGUGGUGAUUCUCGCCGACCGGACGCUGUUGGAGUUUCCGUUAGAAGCGCUGAAGGCCCUGCGGGUGAAGAGCGUGGGCUCGGUCUCUAGAGACUUCUCUCUGCAGGUUCUUCACGCUCGACUGAAGACGGAGGAAGCAGUUGAAAGUGACAAUAAAAAGGAGGCCAAAGGUAGCAGAGGAGUCAAGGCGAGAGGCGAUCAAAGCCGAGGCAUCAAAGCGGUGCCGGUCAGUCGUGUCCCGCCGCCGAACAGCGUCCCGGUGGACACGCACAGGUUCAGAUAUGUAGCUGACGUUCAGGAGGAAGAUGAUGGAAAGCGGGCCGACUGCAGUCCAGCAGAAGUCUUGAGGAAGACCCUCGACACGUACUCAUCGCAAUUUACACCUCAGUGGGAAGGAUUCAUCGGCCCCGAGCGCAGGCGCAGUCUCGCAGAUCUCGAGCAGAUGCUGACCUCCUGCAGCGCUUUUAUUUACUCCGGGGCAAAAAACUUCUUCUCCUGCGUCCCACCCGCCAAGAUGGCCUCCCUCAACAUGUCCGGAUGUCAGAUGGUUUUUCUCUUUGAAAGCGGUCAGAACAGAGUCAGCGUCCAGAAGAGGCGGAGCAGCCGGGCUUCAGACGGUCCUCUGGGCUCGGCGUAUCUCUUCACUCUCAGCGGGGUUCGCUCCGUUCUGCUCAAUCAGUGGUCCAGCAGCAUCGCAGCGAAUGCGUCAAGCAUGCACUCGCUCAUGGACAGUCUUCUGAGAGCAGGACUGACGUCAGGAAGAGCUGCACAUCUUUUACGGACAGAAAACACCGACGUCGGUGGAAAGUCGCCCGGCCCGACAGCAGACGGGAGUUCAGCUCUGAACGUGGAAGACAUCCAGAGAAAAACUCCUUCUGCGUUCAGCUUUGUUAUAUACGGGCUUCCUAAUUUAGUGGUGACAUGAAGAAGCACUGGAGAUCUUAAACACCGUCCUUCACCCCACACUGUAACAAAAAGAAAACCACAGGAUAUUCGACAUGAGCCGAGAUGUUCACUGAUGGACCGGAGUGCUGUGGAUUAUCAUGACUCUCAUUCUGACGGCACCCAUUCACAUCCAUUGCUGAGACACAUUUCUACAAACCUUAUGAAGAAGCGAACUCAUGCUAAUCUCGAAUGAACUGAGGGGAAGAGGCUCGGUGAAGACGGUCAGAGACAUGCAGGAGUUACUGAAAGAACUGGGUCAGGAAGAGAAACACCCGUGAUUCCUGCAGGAGAAAAAUAAAGUCAGACAGAUGGAUGUCAGUGGCACACACACACACACACACACACACACACACACACUGAUUCAGAUCUGCUCACACAAUAAUUAUCAUGAGGUCUGUUCACAUUAUCUCUCAUGCACUGAUGCUCAAACUGAAGGUCUAAUAAACAAUGAAGCUGCUAAACACUUUCUGCAAGUAUAAAAAACCUAUAACAAAACAUGCAUCAGCUAUAUACGCACAAUUCUCUUUUUAUAUUAUUAUAUUUAUGGUAUAUUGUUAAAUCUAUUUAGAGUAAGUGGGAAUAUUAUAAUGAUUUAUAUAUAUGAUUAUAUAAAUAAAUAAAACUGAUUAUUAGAGUACGUUUUGCAAUAAAAAUACUACUUUACAUUUUUACCGUUAAUUCAUAAAAUCUGCCAACAUUUCAUGAAUUUAAAUUGCUUCUAAUUCUACACCAAAUUAAUGUCGUUGAUGCCAUUUGAAUGCAUAAUGCAUUAUAAAAAAAUUAUAUAAUGUGUUAACAUCUCAUGAAUAAUCAUAAAAACAAUUUAUAGAUUAUAAUAUUUGUGUAUUUGUGAUUAUAACUUUUCAAAAUAUAAUACAGUGCACAUUUAGCAGAACACUGCUUAAAGUGCACAAAUAGCAUUUAUAAGUAAUAUCAGAUAUCAGAUCAGAAUAUUAGUAAAGUAACACAAGUAAAAUAGCAAGAUAUGAGACUUAUAAUGCAUUAUAACUGAGAAAUAUAAUACUCUGAAAAGCUAUAAUAUAUAUAUAUAUAUGAAAUAUACAACAUAUUAUAAUGUUAUUUCAUAUAAUGCCUUAAGAAUACCCUUAUAAUGUUUUGUAAAUACAGGCUUCAUAGAAAGUGAGCGAUAAGAUUUCUGAAAUCUGCAACUGAAGUGAUAUUUAGAUGUAUUUACAGUUUUAUUGUAUCUCAUAGAGGACAUGGAGGAAUUUUACCUGCGGUUACGGAUACAUAAAUAACACUGAAAUUAUUUCAACAUGAAAAAAAGUCAAAAUGUGAACUUCAAACUGCCGCUAUAGGUGACAGCAAGUGACUGAUUCAUUCAAACAAUGUUAAUGAGCGAGUCAGCGAAUCAUUAAUGCAAGCGAUUUGUUCAAAAAACUGAUUCAUUCAAUUAAACACUGUCUAUUGCUAGACGUGAAACAGUGCCUUGAUCUUUGUUUGGGACAAAAUUGUGCAAAAACAGACAACAUAGUGCGUUAAAUAUAAUCUAUUGUGUCUAAAAUAUAGAAGGCUGAGACUUUGUUGAUUUUGACGUCUUCUAUCCUCAUGUGUGAAUCGCUUCGGAUUAAAGCAUCUGUUAAAUGACUAAAUGUACAACGUAAUCAAGUUAACACCACAUUUUUUAAGCUUGCAUAAAAUGCAUGAUUUCUGCAUUUGUUAUCGCGCUGAUAUCUGUUAUAUAUCUCUUUGUGUGACAUAGAUGAACUGUAUUAAAUGAAUAUUAUUAUUGCUUUGCUUCACGACACCACCGGCACACGAGGAUGGUGUCUGCUCUCUUCACGCCAGACGUGUUUUUCUGAGGGUUUGUAUUCAUGGGAUUCGUCCUAAGUGUUUGUGCAGAUCUAAAAUGCAGCAGCACUGCUUUCACUCUCAUGAAUACACAGUCCAGCUUUCUCCAAAUAGACAAGAUCUGUUCUGUCAGCGACGGAUUUGGACACACAGACGCACAUAUGUGAGCUUUCUAUAAUCUGAUCCCGUCUGAAACAGAACAGGACCGUUCUCUAGCACAUUUAAUCAGCUACAUGUAUGCAUAAACUAACCAAUAUAUACACAGGCUAAUAUUUUAGUAUAGGUGUGGUUGGUUUAAAGUUCAUUUAAUAGUUGUUUUGAUGUGGGGAGCGUGUGUAAACAUGCUGUUUGUGAGUGAUAUGGAUGACUCUAUUAUCAGACGCUCUCAUCAUUGUUUUUAUUGUGUUUUUCCACGCUCUGGUUUAGCUGGGGAUCAGAUUAGCAAAUUCAGCUUUUAUUAUGGACAAAUGAGACCUGCAUAUGGGACGUGUGUUUAGAAAAUAUGUGUAUUUAUACAACCAACUGAAGAAGAUUACAUGAAAACACUGACCGUCAUGGUAAUAAAGCACAAAAUCUGCUGUAACAGUGCAGAAAAGCUGCCAAAAUACAGUGCAAAAAAAAAAAAAAAUCAUGAGCAGUGCAAAAGUAUUGGCACCCCUUUUCAUAUAAUGCAAGGGUUGUUGAAAUGAAAACAUCUUUAGUGCUUUUUUUUUUUUUCUUCUUGUUGUUGUUAAACCUGUUCUUCAGUUUCACAGAUGAUUGACAUUUUAAUAAAAAAAUGCUUCAUUAUUUUAUUUAAUGAAAUAAUGCAUCAAUUGAAAACCAUUGCUGUCUGGGUCCAGAGUUCCAACAGAAGUGCACCAGAAAAGUAUUUAUUAGUAUUAAUGAAUCGUAUUUUGAUCAAAUGACCAAAAAUCUGUUGCCAAU
Molecule: RNA transcript, 5709 nt
Organism: Puntigrus tetrazona (Sumatra barb)
Lineage: Eukaryota; Metazoa; Chordata; Actinopteri; Cypriniformes; Cyprinidae
Gene name: cilia- and flagella-associated protein 46-like
Exons: 30
Source: RefSeq, a predicted model, not a curated record